AGAGUUUGAUCAUGGCUCAGAACGAACGCUGGCGCAUGCUUAACACAUGCAAGUCGAACGAGACCUUCGGGGUCAGUGGCGCACGGGUGCGUAACGCGUGGGAAUCUGCCCUUUGCUAACGGGAAUAACUCAGAGAAAUUUGUGCUAAUACCGUAUAAUGUCGUAAGACCAAAGAUUUAUCGGCAAAGGAUGAGCCCGCGUAAGAUUAGCUUGUUGGUGAGGUAAAGGGCUCACCAAGGCGACGAUCUUUAGCUGGUCUGAGAGGAUGAUCAGCCACACUGGGACUGAGACACGGCCCAGACUCCUACGGGAGGCAGCAGUGGGGAAUAUUGGACAAUGGGCGAAAGCCUGAUCCAGCAAUGCCGCGUGAGUGAUGAAGGCCUUAGGGUUGUAAAGCUCUUUUACCAGGGAUGAUAAUGACAGUACCUGGAGAAUAAGCUCCGGCUAACUCCGUG
RNAcentral lists this ribosomal RNA (455 nucleotides) under uncultured bacterium. RNAcentral describes it as "bacterial SSU rRNA". It matches the Rfam family "Bacterial small subunit ribosomal RNA", at positions 8 to 507 of the family's 1533-position model. The record is from RNAcentral.